RNAcentral lists this ribosomal RNA (420 nucleotides) under uncultured archaeon. RNAcentral's name for it is "partial 16S ribosomal RNA". It matches the Rfam family "Archaeal small subunit ribosomal RNA", at positions 323 to 746 of the family's 1478-position model. The record is from RNAcentral.
CUACGGGCGGCACCAGUCGAGGAAAUUUUACAAUGCUCGCAAGAGUGAUAAAAUAAGCCAGAGUGUUUCUCCUAGAGAAACUUUUAUUUGCUGUAAAAAGGCAAAGGAAUAAGGACUGGGCAAGACCGGUGCCAGCCGCCGCGGUAAUACCGGCGGUCCAAGUCGCAUCCACAUUUAUUGAGUCUAAAACAUUCGUAGCUUGUUUUAUAAGUCUCUUGUGAAAUCCUAUAUCUCAAGUAUAGGGCGUGCAAGAGAUACUAUAUUACUAGAGACUGGAAGACGCAAAGAGUAUGGUUGAGGUAGCGGUAAAAUGUGUUAAUCUCAAUUAGACUAACAAUGGCGAAGGCACUUUGCGAGUACAGAUCUGACAGUGAGGGAUGAAGGCUAGGGGCGCAAAAGGGAUUAGAUACCCGUGUAGUC